UGGUUCCCAAAUGGGAGUGUGCUUGGAAGC
RNAcentral lists this non-coding RNA (30 nucleotides) under Homo sapiens (human). The record is from RNAcentral. Lineage: Eukaryota; Metazoa; Chordata; Mammalia; Primates; Hominidae.